This 253-nucleotide ribosomal RNA is filed under the name uncultured bacterium. Its description in RNAcentral is "partial 16S ribosomal RNA". It matches the Rfam family "Bacterial small subunit ribosomal RNA", at positions 524 to 776 of the family's 1533-position model. The record is from RNAcentral.
GACGAACCGUCCGAACGUUAUUCGGAAUCACUGGGCUUAAAGGGCGCGUAGGCGGGCUGCCAAGUCCGGGGUGAAAUCCUCCAGCUUAACUGGAGAACGGCCCCGGAUACUGGAAGUCUCGAGGGGGAUAGGGGCACACGGAACUUAUGGUGGAGCGGUGAAAUGCGUUGAUAUCAUAAGGAACUCCGGUGGCGAAGGCGGUGUGCUGGAUCCCUUCUGACGCUGAGGCGCGAAAGCCAGGGGAGCAAACGGG